CUAGAUGAUAAUAUUGUCCUGAAAUGUAGAUGUUUUAAAUCUAAUGAGCUAUGCUGAAAUAACUACUUUUUUCCUGGUUUCCACUCACGUGCAAUUACAUUCUUAACUGUAAAUUGAUAUUUAUCAACUUCUUCUAUCUAGUCUUUGAUUCGAUUUGAUUUGAAGUUCACAAGUUUUCUUUCCUCCUCCACACAGUUUAGGUGUAAUUUAGCUGAAGUGCUGCGCUGUACCAGCAGUGUUUGUAUCUUAGAGCUAAUUUAGUGUCAACUCCUUUCUUGUAGGACCUGAGCUGGGAUGCCUGAGUCUCCUCUCAGUCCCACAGCAGCCCGUCAAACUCCAGCCAGCAGCCUCCUCAGUCACACAGACAACGGUGCAGGAGAGAGAGCAGCUAAUGGGGACUCCUGCAGUGGAGUGAGUGCUGAAAACUGGCAGAGUCUCCACCAUAAACAGGUGUUUCUGGCUAUGAUGGCUCCUCAGCAGAUGCAGCACCUUCUAUCCCCCAACCAGCUGCAGGCCCUGAUCCACCAGAAACAACAAGCCCUAAUGCUCCAGCAGCAACAUCUGAAAGAGUUUUACAAGAAGCAACAACAACAGAUUCACCUGCAGCUGCUUCAACAGCAGCCCAGCAAGAAAGUCAAAGAGGUAAGAGGUUAUCUAUGUAUAUGAAUAUAUAUAUUUUAUAUUUUAUUUAUUUUAUAAUUCUGUCCUUGCUUUAGUU
Molecule: long non-coding RNA, 718 nt
Filed under: Sparus aurata (gilthead seabream)
Lineage: Eukaryota; Metazoa; Chordata; Actinopteri; Spariformes; Sparidae
Description: lncRNA (ENSSAUG00010004138.1)
Source: RNAcentral